Molecule: ribosomal RNA, 460 nt
Filed under: uncultured bacterium
Lineage: Bacteria
Description: partial 16S ribosomal RNA
Rfam family: Bacterial small subunit ribosomal RNA
Source: RNAcentral
CCUACGGGAGGCAGCAGUGAGGAAUAUUGGUCAAUGGCCGUAAGGCUGAACCAGCCAAGUAGCGUGAGGGAAGACUGCCCUAUGGGUUGUAAACCUCUUUUAUGCGGGGAUAAAGGUGUCCACGUGUGGAUGUUUGCAGGUACCGCAUGAAUAAGGACCGGCUAAUUCCGUGCCAGAAGCCGCGGUAAUACGGAAGGUCCGGGCGUUAUCCGGAUUUAUUGGGUUUAAAGGGAGCGUAGGCCGGUCUUUAAGCGUGCCGUGAAAUUUUGUGGCUCAACCAUGAGAGUGCGGCGCGAACUGGAUACCUUGAGUGCGCGGAAGGCAGGCGGAAUUCGUGGUGUAGCGGUGAAAUACUUAGAUAUCACGAAGAACCCCGAUUGCGAAGGCAGCUUGCCGCAGCGUUACUGACGCUGAAGCUCGAAAGCGCGGGUAUCGAACAGGAUUAGAUACCCGAGUAGUC